Molecule: ribosomal RNA, 758 nt
Filed under: Serratia fonticola
Lineage: Bacteria; Pseudomonadati; Pseudomonadota; Gammaproteobacteria; Enterobacterales; Yersiniaceae
Description: bacterial SSU rRNA
Rfam family: Bacterial small subunit ribosomal RNA
Source: RNAcentral
GGCACGGGGCGGCGGCUAACACAUGCAGUCGAGCGGUAGCACAGGGAGCUUGCUCCUGGGUGACGAGCGGCGGACGGGUGAGUAAUGUCUGGGAAACUGCCCGAUGGAGGGGGAUAACUACUGGAAACGGUAGCUAAUACCGCAUAACGUCUUCGGACCAAAGUGGGGGACCUUCGGGCCUCACACCAUCGGAUGUGCCCAGAUGGGAUUAGCUAGUAGGUGAGGUAAUGGCUCACCUAGGCGACGAUCCCUAGCUGGUCUGAGAGGAUGACCAGCCACACUGGAACUGAGACACGGUCCAGACUCCUACGGGAGGCAGCAGUGGGGAAUAUUGCACAAUGGGCGCAAGCCUGAUGCAGCCAUGCCGCGUGUGUGAAGAAGGCCUUCGGGUUGUAAAGCACUUUCAGCGAGGAGGAAGGGUUCGGUGUUAAUAGCACCGUUCAUUGACGUUACUCGCAGAAGAAGCACCGGCUAACUCCGUGCCAGCAGCCGCGGUAAUACGGAGGGUGCAAGCGUUAAUCGGAAUUACUGGGCGUAAAGCGCACGCAGGCGGUUUGUUAAGUCAGAUGUGAAAUCCCCGAGCUUAACUUGGGAACUGCAUUUGAAACUGGCAAGCUAGAGUCUUGUAGAGGGGGGUAGAAUUCCAGGUGUAGCGGUGAAAUGCGUAGAGAUCUGGAGGAAUACCGGUGGCGAAAGCGCCCCCCUGGACAAAGACUGACACUCAUGUGCCAAUGGCGUGGGGAGACAAAUGGAUUUAG